This 492-nucleotide ribosomal RNA is filed under the name uncultured bacterium. Its description in RNAcentral is "partial 16S ribosomal RNA". It matches the Rfam family "Bacterial small subunit ribosomal RNA", at positions 29 to 507 of the family's 1533-position model. The record is from RNAcentral.
AGUGAACGCUGGCGGUAGGCCUAACACAUGCAAGUCGAACGGCAGCACAGUAAGAGCUUGCUCUUACGGGUGGCGAGUGGCGGACGGGUGAGGAAUACAUCGGAAUCUACUUUUUCGUGGGGGAUAACGUAGGGAAACUUACGCUAAUACCGCAUACGACCUACGAGUGAAAGCAGGGGAUCUUCGGACCUUGCGCGAUUGAAUGAGCCGAUGUCGGAUUAGCUAGUUGGCGGGGUAAAGGCCCACCAAGGCGACGAUCCGUAGCUGGUCUGAGAGGAUGAUCAGCCACACUGGAACUGAGACACGGUCCAGACUCCUACGGGAGGCAGCAGUGGGGAAUAUUGGACAAAGGGCGCAAGCCUGAUCCAGCCAUACCGCGUGGGUGAAGAAGGCCUUCGGGUUGUAAAGCCCUUUUGUUGGGAAAGAAAAGCAGCAGGUUAAUACCCCGCUGUUCUGACGGUACCCAAAGAAUAAGCACCGGCUAACUUCGUG